UGCCAGACUCCUACGGGAGGCAGCAGUGAGGAAUAUUGGUCAAUGGCCGAGAGGCUGAACCAGCCAAGUCGCGUGAGGGAAGACUGCCCUAUGGGUUGUAAACCUCUUUUGUCAGGGAGCAAUUGGCGCUACGUGUAGCGUUAUCGAGAGUACCUGAAGAAAAAGCAUCGGCUAACUCCGUGCCAGCAGCCGCGGUAAUACGGAGGAUGCGAGCGUUAUCCGGAUUUAUUGGGUUUAAAGGGUGCGUAGGCGGAAUAUCAAGUCAGCGGUAAAAAUUCGGGGCUCAACCCCGUCGUGCCGUUGAAACUGAUGUUCUUGAGUGGGCGAGAAGUAUGCGGAAUGCGUGGUGUAGCGGUGAAAUGCAUAGAUAUCACGCAGAACUCCGAUUGCGAAGGCAGUAUACCGGCGCCCAACUGACGCUGAAGCACGAAAGCGUGGGUAUCGAACAGGAUUAGAUACCCGCGUAU
This 467-nucleotide ribosomal RNA is filed under the name uncultured bacterium. Its description in RNAcentral is "bacterial SSU rRNA". It matches the Rfam family "Bacterial small subunit ribosomal RNA", at positions 329 to 793 of the family's 1533-position model. The record is from RNAcentral.